CCCUUAGAUGUCCUGGGCCGCACGCGCGUUACACUGAUGCAUUCAACGAGCUUAUAACCUUGGCCGAGAGGCCUGGGCAAUCUUGUUAACGUGCAUCGUGAUAGGGAUAGAUUAUUGAAAUUAUUAAUCUUGAACGAGGAAUUCCUAGUAAACGCAGAUCAUCAAUCUGCAUUGAUUACGUCCCUGCCCUUUGUACACACCGCCCGUCGCUGCUACCGAUUGGUUGAUCUGGUGAAUUAUUCGGACUGCCGGCUGAAGGGGUUUCCUCAUCUGCCAGCGGAAAGUCUUGUUAACCCUAUCAACUAGAGGAAGCAGAAGUCGUAACA
RNAcentral lists this ribosomal RNA (326 nucleotides) under uncultured eukaryote. RNAcentral's name for it is "partial 18S ribosomal RNA". It matches the Rfam family "Eukaryotic small subunit ribosomal RNA", at positions 1470 to 1796 of the family's 1831-position model. The record is from RNAcentral.